Molecule: ribosomal RNA, 203 nt
Filed under: Weissella thailandensis
Lineage: Bacteria; Bacillati; Bacillota; Bacilli; Lactobacillales; Lactobacillaceae
Description: partial 16S ribosomal RNA
Rfam family: Bacterial small subunit ribosomal RNA
Source: RNAcentral
UUAAAAUGAGAGUUUGAUCCUGGCUCAGGAUGAACGCUGGCGGCGUGCCUAAUACAUGCAAGUCGAACGCUUUGUUUUUAAUUGAUCUGAAGAGCUUGCUCUGAUUUGAUUUUAUCUGACAAAGAGUGGCGAACGGGUGAGUAACACGUGGGUAACCUACCUCUUAGCAGGGGAUAACAUUUGGAAACAAGUGCUAAUACCGU